GACGCUGGCGGCGUGCCUAAUACAUGCAAGUCGAACGCUUCUUUUUCCACCGGAGCUUGCUCCACCGGAAAAAGAGGAGUGGCGAACGGGUGAGUAACACGUGGGUAACCUGCCCAUCAGAAGGGGAUAACACUUGGAAACAGGUGCUAAUACCGUAUAACAAUCGAAACCGCAUGGUUUUGAUUUGAAAGGCGCUUUCGGGUGUCGCUGAUGGAUGGACCCGCGGUGCAUUAGCUAGUUGGUGAGGUAACGGCUCACCAAGGCGACGAUGCAUAGCCGACCUGAGAGGGUGAUCGGCCACAUUGGGACUGAGACACGGCCCAAACUCCUACGGGAGGCAGCAGUAGGGAAUCUUCGGCAAUGGACGAAAGUCUGACCGAGCAACGCCGCGUGAGUGAAGAAGGUUUUCGGAUCGUAAAACUCUGUUGUUAGAGAAGAACAAGGAUGAGAGUAACUGUUCAUCCCUUGACGGUAUCUAACCAGAAAGCCACGGCUAACUACGUGCC
This 506-nucleotide ribosomal RNA is filed under the name uncultured bacterium. RNAcentral describes it as "bacterial SSU rRNA". It matches the Rfam family "Bacterial small subunit ribosomal RNA", at positions 32 to 509 of the family's 1533-position model. The record is from RNAcentral.